RNAcentral lists this unclassified non-coding RNA (233 nucleotides) under plant metagenome. RNAcentral's name for it is "partial contains small subunit ribosomal RNA, internal transcribed spacer 1, and 5.8S ribosomal RNA". The record is from RNAcentral.
UUUCCGUAGGUGAACCUGCGGAAGGAUCAUUAUUGGAUUUUGAAACUUUAGGCUGCUGCUGGCUCUCCUCGGAGGGCAUGUGCACGCUUGUUGUCCAUUAUUUCUCCCACUGUGCACAAAUUGUAGACCUUUCAGUAGGCCUAUGUUGUUUUUCACAAUCUCUGAAUGUAAUAGAAUGGUUUUGAAUCUUGGGAAAUACAAUACAACUUUCAGCAACGGAUCUCUUGGCUCUC